GGGAUGGAGAGGUAGAGACAGAGGAAUGGAGAGGUAGAGACAGGGGAAUGGAGAGGUAGAGACAGAGGAAUGGAGAGGUAGAGACAGAGGAAUGGAGAGGUAGAGACAGGGGAAUGGAGAGGAAGAGACAGGGGAAUGGAGAGGUAGAGACAGGGGAAUGGAGAGGUAGAGACAGGGGGAUGGAGAGGAAGAGACAGGGGAAUGGAGAGGUAGAGACAGGGGAUUGGAGAGGUAGAGACAGAGGAAUGGAGAUGUAGAGACAGGGGAUUGGAGAGGUAGAGACAGGGGGAUGGAGAGGUAGAGACAGGGGAAUGGAGAGGUAGAGACAGGGGAAUGGAGAGGAAGAGAGAGAGGAAUGGAGAGGUAGAAAGAGAGGUUGUAGUUUUGGAAAUAUGCUUCUUCUUUCAGUCAUUGAUCAAAAACUACAUUACCCAGAGGUUCUUGAGGCAAGUUAAUACGUACAUUAGGUGUGGCCAGGUAGUCAGAGACAGAUAGAGAGAGC
Oncorhynchus tshawytscha (Chinook salmon) is the source of this 502-nucleotide long non-coding RNA. NCBI's taxonomy places the organism in Eukaryota, Metazoa, Chordata, Actinopteri, Salmoniformes, Salmonidae. The record is from Ensembl.